Molecule: long non-coding RNA, 1835 nt
Organism: Phasianus colchicus (ring-necked pheasant)
Lineage: Eukaryota; Metazoa; Chordata; Aves; Galliformes; Phasianidae
Source: RefSeq, a predicted model, not a curated record
GGGUAUCUUGCUGAAGAUCUCUGCAUAGCUGAGGUCUUCUGAAGUGUGGUGUGGAGAUGUUCCUCAUCAGCACAGGUGGUCUUCAUUCAUUGCCAAACCUAUGCAGCAACUUCCCUGCUUGUUUUCCUACAUCGGGUGAAGCAAAAGCAAACUCUUUGCUGAAUUGUUCUUCACCACCAGCUCAGAGCCCAUCCUUCUGGACUCCCUUUGCUCCAACAGCAGCUUCCAUGCAUUGGGUUUCUUCAGUAAGAGUUUGCAAGCAGGAGAACACGCUGGCAGCAGUGUGGGAGCUGAUGGCAGGUGGUUCUCCAGCACUGGCAUCCCUCGCUGCAGUGUCCUCGUGUGCCCUAAUGUCUUUUUAGGGCAUGAAAAACGGGUGAAACCAUGCACAUUAGGCUGAGCCACCUUCCAAGGCUUUGGGCUCAUAGGAAAGAAGGAUUUUACUUCAGCAUCCUUGGCUUCACCCAUUUUCCCACUGAGGCAUCACUCUACAGGCUGCUGAGGUCUGAAUGGAAAGGAAUGCUGACCACCGUAAGGCUGUGGGAAUGCAAUGCUGGGGAACCCAGUGAUGGGGCACCAAGGCAGGGCUGUGGCAGUAGCAGAGAUGUGCCUUCCCCUCGGCUGCCAAACAGACCCAGCAGCAGCCCGACCUGUCAGCCACCAGCAGCAGAUGUUCCCCUCCUACAGCCUGGCUAAUGAUCAGCAGAUGUUGCUCCCAAAGGAAACGAGGAUAUUUUCAGCAUCUCUCUCUAACAAGGGCUCAGACGGAGCCCCUGGGCAGCAGAGGCUGCCUCUUGUUCAGACCCAGCACUCUGCAAAUUCCCUUCUCCAUCUCCAUCAGCUCUUGGAGGGUUCAAAGCCACCGGGGCACUGCACAAAGUUCCCAGCCCUGCAGCGCUUCCUUUCCAUGGGAUGGGAAUGGGGAAAGGACCAGUCUGCUCUGCUCCAGGUUUUGCUUUGUUCUUGACAGCAUCUCCAGCUGCACAUGAAGUCCGCCGCUAUUUUGAGGUCCCUCUCCUUCCCCUCCAUCCCCAGGGGCUUCUAGCUGAGCAGCAGAAUAGAAAACGACAGAUUAUUGCUGCCUCUCGCUGAGCCUCUCUCUCACGUGUAAAAGAUGGUCCAUUUUUCUCACAAGCGUUUUGAAAGGGAGUCAGCACAGGAAGGAACUGCACUUUUUCCAACCCUUUGUGCUUUUUGCUGCCCUGGUAUCUCCCCAGGAUGCCGCCUUGGCUGCAGUGCCCCAGGUCCCACUGAAGUCCCACACAUCCCCUCACACGUUUCCUAUCUAUUCCCCAAAGCCUGAGAGCAGCACAAAGCACUGUGAGCCCUGCUAGCAUCCUGCUUGGUCUGCUCACCAGCUCUAAUCCUGCUUUUCAUUCAUACAUCUUAUUUAUUCCUCUUGGGUGACAACCAUUAAUCUGCAGCUGUACUUCUUUUACCCUACACUUGGCAACCUUUUUUUUGGUUAAAUGGGUGCACGUUUACUUAGGCAAUUAUGCUGCUGGAUGUGUAUUUACAGGGAUUCUUCAUUUCUACAUUUGAUUAUGUUGUGUUACAGGGAAUGAUGCAUUCCCUUUUUAUGAGAUUCUUAUUAAUUAUAGACUCACAACAUGCGUCGUGGUCCAUUUGGGCUGAAAUUGGUUUUCAAUUUAAAACACCUAAAAACCAGCAGCAAAGAUGGCUUUUAUUAGUUAAAUAAAACCAUUUAAAACACGCUAACUACGGAAGAAAAUAGAAUCUUAUCUGAGCAAGCAUUUAAAACUGAUUUCUUAAACAAGAUAAGUGCUCUCUGCAAUGAGGGAGCUGAGGUCCUUGUACCAAAUUUUCAUAUUCUG